RNAcentral lists this ribosomal RNA (454 nucleotides) under uncultured bacterium. Its description in RNAcentral is "bacterial SSU rRNA". It matches the Rfam family "Bacterial small subunit ribosomal RNA", at positions 32 to 473 of the family's 1533-position model. The record is from RNAcentral.
AAUCAACGCUGGCGGCGUGCCUCAGACAUGCAAGUCGAACGAUUAAAGCUCCCUUCGGGGAGUGUAUAGAGUGGCGCACGGGUGAGCAACACGUAAGUAAUCUACCCUCGAGUGGGGAAUAACGUCCGGAAACGGACGCUAAUACCGCAUAAUGCAGCGGCACCGCAAGGUGACAGUUGUUAAAGAUUUAUCGCUUGAGGAGGAGCUUGCGGCAGAUUAGCUAGUUGGAAGGUAAUGGCUUACCAAGGCUACGAUCUGUAACCGGUCUAAGAGGACGGUCGGUCACACUGACACUGAAUAACGGGUCAGACUCCUACGGGAGGCAGCAGUCGGGAAUUUUGGGCAAUGGGCGAAAGCCUGACCCAGCAACGCCGCGUGAAGGAUGAAGUCCCUCGGGAUGUAAACUUCGCAAGAACGGGAAGAAUAAGCGAGAGUUAAUAUCUUUCGUGAUGAC